AACGUAGGAGGCAAGCGUUAUCCGGAUUUACUGGGCGUAAAGCGUGUGCAGGCGGUUGUCCAAGUCGGGUAUGAAAGCGCUCCGCUUAACGGGGCGAGGCUAGACGAGACUGGGCGACUAGAAUCAGACAGAGGCAAGCGGAAUUCCGGGUGUAGUGGUGAAAUGCGUAGAUAUCAAGUGGAACACCAGUGGCGAAGGCGAGUCCCUGGACAACACCUGACACUGAGGCACGAAAGCUAGGGGAGCAAACAGG
RNAcentral lists this ribosomal RNA (253 nucleotides) under uncultured bacterium. Its description in RNAcentral is "partial 16S ribosomal RNA". It matches the Rfam family "Bacterial small subunit ribosomal RNA", at positions 524 to 776 of the family's 1533-position model. The record is from RNAcentral.